RNAcentral lists this ribosomal RNA (929 nucleotides) under uncultured bacterium. RNAcentral's name for it is "bacterial SSU rRNA". It matches the Rfam family "Bacterial small subunit ribosomal RNA", at positions 11 to 915 of the family's 1533-position model. The record is from RNAcentral.
GUUUGAUCCUGGCUCAGGACGAACGCUGGCGGCGUGCCUAAUACAUGCAAGUGGGACGCAAGGGAACACACUGUGCUUGCACACCGUGUUUUCUUGAGUCGCGAACGGGUGAGUAACGCGUAGGUAACCUGCCUAUUAGCGGGGGAUAACUAUUGGAAACGAUAGCUAAUACCGCAUAAUAUUAAUUAUUGCAUGAUAAUUGAUUGAAAGAUGCAAGCGCAUCACUAGUAGAUGGACCUGCGUUGUAUUAGCUAGUUGGUAAGGUAAGAGCUUACCAAGGCGACGAUACAUAGCCGACCUGAGAGGGUGAUCGGCCACACUGGGACUGAGACACGGCCCAGACUCCUACGGGAGGCAGCAGUAGGGAAUCUUCGGCAAUGGACGAAAGUCUGACCGAGCAACGCCGCGUGAGUGAAGAAGGUUUUCGGAUCGUAAAGCUCUGUUGUAAGUCAAGAACGUGUGUGAGAGUGGAAAGUUCACACAGUGACGGUAGCUUACCAGAAAGGGACGGCUAACUACGUGCCAGCAGCCGCGGUAAUACGUAGGUCCCGAGCGUUGUCCGGAUUUAUUGGGCGUAAAGGGAGCGCAGGCGGUCAGGAAAGUCUGGAGUAAAAGGCUAUGGCUCAACCAUAGUGUGCUCUGGAAACUGUCUGACUUGAGUGCAGAAGGGGAGAGUGGAAUUCCAUGUGUAGCGGUGAAAUGCGUAGAUAUAUGGAGGAACACCAGUGGCGAAAGCGGCUCUCUGGUCUGUCACUGACGCUGAGGCUCGAAAGCGUGGGUAGCGAACAGGAUUAGAUACCCUGGUAGUCCACGCCGUAAACGAUGAGUGCUAGGUGUUAGGCCCUUUCCGGGGCUUAGUGCCGGAGCUAACGCAAUAAGCACUCCGCCUGGGGAGUACGCCGCAAGGUUGAAACUCAAAGGAAUUGACG